RNAcentral lists this long non-coding RNA (487 nucleotides) under Oreochromis niloticus (Nile tilapia). RNAcentral's name for it is "lncRNA (ENSONIG00000032881.1)". The record is from RNAcentral. Lineage: Eukaryota; Metazoa; Chordata; Actinopteri; Cichliformes; Cichlidae.
AGAGAGGAGAUACGAAACGAAACAGCCUGGAGAAGAUGGACCCUAUCCCUCUGCCGUACAUCACGGGGGCUCCGUAAAACCCCGGAAGGGAUCCGCCCACCUGCCCUUCAUAAUAGGGCUUUGGAGUUGACGUCACGCCGCGGAGCGCGGCGCCAUUUUCGGGGUCUACGAAUCAAAAGAGACACAGUGUUGGAACGACAACGACAAGAAUCACGCUUAAAAGCAGCUCCAAAGAAAACGGACGGUAUAGAGACCGAUUGCGUCCAGAGGCGAAGCAGCGGUACUUGCAGAAAAUUGCGUGCAUUGGAAAUGUGGACCCGUAUGAAACACUGCCGUGGAGUAGAAACCCUGAAGAGCAACCGCUAUAGCCUGCAGCGUUCUAUAGAUGGACACAUAAGGAAAUGAAAAAUUACAUGUGCUGCACUCUCAAAGACUGAAUGAACAGCAUUGCAGCCAUGGGUCACUGUGAGCAUCACAGGGAAGGUUG